This 104-nucleotide small nucleolar RNA is filed under the name Erythranthe guttata (spotted monkey flower). The record is from RNAcentral. Lineage: Eukaryota; Viridiplantae; Streptophyta; Magnoliopsida; Lamiales; Phrymaceae.
CUUAAGUAGUGUAGUGCUGUAAAUGUGGACGUAAAGCAUUACAUGGGCUUUAGGUGGGCAUGCAAGGAGUAUCUGGAUGCCCAUAAAGAAACCUCCGGAUAUAG